Molecule: long non-coding RNA, 275 nt
Filed under: Rhinopithecus bieti (black snub-nosed monkey)
Lineage: Eukaryota; Metazoa; Chordata; Mammalia; Primates; Cercopithecidae
Description: lncRNA (ENSRBIG00000045594.1)
Source: RNAcentral
CAGGUUUCAGACACUAAUUCUCUGCUGGGCAUGCAUCCAGAAGAGGUGUAAGGAGUGACAGACUGAUGGAAAGGCACAGCACCUUGGCUGGACGGGCUCGUCCUGUUUCUGGCAUCGCUGUGAAGAGCCCUCCAGGUGCCCAGCUUCCAGUCUCAGCUCCGAUACUCAGAGGCGUGUGAUGUCCUAGCCUCAGCUUCCCGGUCUGUUCGAUGGAUGAUCAUUUUUCCCCUGACAACUGGGAAAACACAAAGCAAAACACAGCUCCAAUAAAAUUG